RNAcentral lists this ribosomal RNA (270 nucleotides) under uncultured Lachnospiraceae bacterium. Its description in RNAcentral is "partial 16S ribosomal RNA". It matches the Rfam family "Bacterial small subunit ribosomal RNA", at positions 69 to 339 of the family's 1533-position model. Lineage: Bacteria; Bacillati; Bacillota; Clostridia; Lachnospirales; Lachnospiraceae. The record is from RNAcentral.
UGCUUUGAUGAAGUUUUAGUGACUGAGUGGCGGACGGGUGAGUAACGCGUGGGUAACCUGCCUCAUACAGGGGGAUAACGAUUGGAAACGAUUGCUAAUACCGCAUAAGCGCACAGUACCACAUGGUGCAGUGUGAAAAACUCCGGUGGUAUGAGAUGGACCCGCGUCUGAUUAGCUAGUUGGUGAGGUAACGGCCCACCAAGGCAACGAUCAGUAGCCGACCUGAGAGGGUGACCGGCCACAUUGGGACUGAGACACGGCCCAGACUCC